UACCCGCUGGUUUAAGCAUAUCACUGAGCGCAGGAGAAGAAACUAACCAGGAUUUCCCUAGUAACGGCGAGCGAACCGGAAAGAGCCCAGCUUGAAAAUCGUGGCGCCCCGGCGCCUCGAAUUGUAGUCUGGAGAAGGUCCCUCUGCGGCGCGCCGGAUUCAAGUUCCCUGGAAUGGGACGUCCGAGAGGGUGAGAACCCCGUCGUAUCCGGAGUGCGUCGCUCCACGAGGACCUGUCUGCGAGUCGGGCUGUUUGGGAAUGCAGCCCUAAGCGGGUGGUAAAUUCCAUCCAAGGCUAAAUAUUGGCAAGAGACCGAUAGCGAACAAGUACCGCGAGGGAAAGAUGAAAAGGACUUUGAAAAGAGAGUUAAAAAGUGCUUGAAAUUGCUGGGAGGGAAGCGAAUGGAAGCUGCGGGUGCGCCCCGGUUGGAUGCGGAACGGCCGUCAGACGCUGGUCCGCCGCUCAACGCGGGGCGCUGGUCAGCGUGGGCCGUCGCGGCGGGACAAGAGCGGGGAUUCGCUUCCCGCCGAUGCCGCCGCGGUGGCCGAGGAACGAAGCGCGCGCCUUCCGGCGUGGGACUCGUCCCAACUGCGCGCUCGAGACGCUGGCGUAUUGAGCUCUUCAUCCGACCCGUCUUGAAACACGGACCAAGGAGUCUAACAUGUAUGCGAGCCGGUGGGCGGCAAACCCAUUGAGGCGCAAGUAACCUGACAGGUGGGACCCCGACCGCAAGGGAGGGAGCACCAUCGACCGACCGUGAUCUUCUGUGAAGGGUUC
This 778-nucleotide ribosomal RNA is filed under the name Orthotrichum pallens. RNAcentral's name for it is "partial 26S ribosomal RNA". It matches the Rfam family "Eukaryotic large subunit ribosomal RNA", at positions 22 to 791 of the family's 3401-position model. The record is from RNAcentral. Lineage: Eukaryota; Viridiplantae; Streptophyta; Bryopsida; Orthotrichales; Orthotrichaceae.